RNAcentral lists this ribosomal RNA (497 nucleotides) under uncultured bacterium. Its description in RNAcentral is "partial 16S ribosomal RNA". It matches the Rfam family "Bacterial small subunit ribosomal RNA", at positions 28 to 507 of the family's 1533-position model. The record is from RNAcentral.
GAUGAACGCUGGCGGCGUGCCUAAUACAUGCAAGUCGAGCGAACAGAUAAGGAGCUUGCCUCUUUUAAGUUAGCGGCGGACGGGUGAGUAAAACGUGGGUAACCUACCUAUAAGACUGGGAUAACUUCGGGAAACCGGAGCUAAUACCGGAUAACAUUUAGAACCGCAUGGUUCUAAAGUGAAAGAUGGUUUUGCUAUCACUUAUAGAUGGACCCGCGCCGUAUUAGCUAGUUGGUAAGGUAACGGCUUACCAAGGCGACGAUACGUAGCCGACCUGAGAGGGUGAUCGGCCACACUGGAACUGAGACACGGUCCAGACUCCUACGGGAGGCAGCAGUAGGGAAUCUUCCGCAAUGGGCGAAAGCCUGACGGAGCAACGCCGCGUGAGUGAUGAAGGGUUUCGGCUCGUAAAACUCUGUUAUUAGGGAAGAACAAAUGUGUAAGUAACUGUGCACAUCUUGACGGUACCUGAUCAGAAAGCCACGGCUAACUACGUG